This 1903-nucleotide ribosomal RNA is filed under the name Triticum aestivum (bread wheat). RNAcentral describes it as "partial small subunit ribosomal RNA". The record is from RNAcentral. Lineage: Eukaryota; Viridiplantae; Streptophyta; Magnoliopsida; Poales; Poaceae.
UACAAGACGGCCAGACGGUAGUUGUAUGGCAGAAGUGCGUACGGGUGAUUAGGCGAGUGGUGGUGCAGAGUCAACGGUUUUUUUGUAGUGCAGAGGUUGAGGUUGGUAUCGCGGGGGAGAGGUGGUCGGCGGUCUCUUGAGGAGGGACAAGGGUAGCGGCGGCGGCGGCGGGUGGCGAGGAGGAGAGGAGACGAUGGGGUCCGCGCUCCUUGGUUGGAGGGCUUCGUUGGUCUCGCCGUUUCGCCGUCUCCUUAACUCUCUACCGCAAACGCCGCCGCCCCUUCCUCUUCCCCGCCCGCAGGAUGUAGGCCUAGUUCGUGCCCCCUCCUCGCCGCGCUCCGUAGGACCUUCCUCGGGCUCCCGGCCCAGAAGAGGCGGUGGUGCGCGUGGCUACAGCGGUGCGCGGAACCGCUGGAGGCGCUGGUCUAGGAGCAGCCAACGUGGAGGAAGCGGCUGGAGCGGCGUGUCGUGAGGUCGACGAGGAGGCGGGCGGUGCCGUUGCUGGAUCACGUAGACCAUCUUGGUUAGCUAAACGUCUUAUACCGUACUUGGCCUUCCCAUUAGCCACGGCGGUGGCCUUCCGAGCCGUCACGAUUAGCGACCUUGAUGUGAUGGCCGUCACGGUAGGUUAGGAGUCUCUGCGAGUUCCAUAUAUGUUACAUGUGUGUUUCCCCAGGUGUACGUUAAUAGAUUAAUAACCUACGUAGUCUAAUUACACGAAUUACUUAGUGUACAAAUAUGAACUCUGUUUACUUACAUAAUUACCAAUCAUUAAAAAAAUUGAUAGGAAAAAUGUACCGAAGAUUCGAGAAACUUUCAAAUCCUGUGUUAUCCUUCAGUAUAAUGUCGCCAAAGGUCAAUUAUUGUUUCGACUUUCGUGUUAGAGAUAAAAAACUCCCGUCGUUUUAACAAAAGAUCUUGACUAUCAAAGAAGUCAUAAAAAAAUCAAACGAAAGACAAUGAAAUAUUGACUUAUACUUAUACGUCAAUGGAAUAAAAAGAAAAUACACUAUACACUCAUAUAUCGUCAAUCGACGUACCAAAUAACACCAAAGUUCGAGUUGAAAACACAAUAGAUCUACGUCAUGAUCCUGACCAACAACUGGUUUCUCUACUAUACUGGUAGUCAAAUACCGGAAAAACUCGAACUACAGAAGAUAUAACCUCUUACUUCAGAAGCCGUACAUGUGACACAUUUGUUAGUAACCUUUUCCGCUCUCCUUCUAUUCUCCUCGUAUAUCUUCAAACACUAAACAUAUCCUCCGGAACAACUAUACUAAAUAAAAGGACUACCAUAUAUAUAAGUAGAGUAAUCCUUCCGUAACAACACACCGAAACCAGAAGGAUUUUAAAAGACACCUAAAAAAAGAAAAGAAAAAUCGAAACACUUUGUUACUGAUAGGAUCGUGUUCUAGAUUAGUACCCUUAAAGGAAUAACAUGUCAAAAGGUAAAAAUUUAUAAUCUGGUAAGAAGUAACAACUCUACAACUAUCCUGUUCAAAAGUAACGAAUAGAAUGGUCCUGAUUCUAAUCCGACCUCUUUCACACCGAACGUACGGUAGAUACAGCAUGUAUUUAAUAAUUUAAAGGAAGUAAAAAACAAGUACUUACAACGUGAGGAUCUCUACUCUGAGCCUUACCCACGUAUUACCAGGACCGAUGGCCUCUUGAGAAGUUCGAGCGUUCACCACGCACAACAUUGAGGGUGACACCGCAACAUCAGCUCGGGUAGUUAAGUUUAAGACUUCUAUUGUACAUCGGACUUAGGUUCUCCCUUGUUUAGGUCAACAAGGUUCUGCGCAAGAAAAAACAUAUAGAACAACUGUCAAACGAAGAGACGGUACAAGUGAACCUGUUACGUAUAUACAUAAUAUUCAGGAAGGUUCAAGUAUCUUAUUUGGUC